AAAAUACGGAGUUUGAUCGUGGCUCAGAUUGAACGCUGGCGGCAUGCCUAACACAUGCAAGUCGAACGGUAGCAGGCCUUCGGGUGCUGACGAGUGGCGGACGGGUGAGUAAUGCGUAGGAAUCUGUCUUUUAGUGGGGGACAACCCAGGGAAACUUGGGCUAAUACCGCAUGAGCCCUGAGGGGGGAAAGCGGGGGGAUCUUCGGACCUCGCGCUAAGAGAAGAGCCUACGUCUGAUUAGCUAGUUGGUAGGGUAAAGGCCUACCAAGGCGACGAUCAGUAGCUGGUCUGAGAGGACGACCAGCCACACUGGGACUGAGACACGGCCCAGACUCCUACGGGAGGCAGCAGUGGGGAAUUUUUCGCAAUGGGGGCAACCCUGACGAAGCAAUGCCGCGUGGAUGAAGAAGGCCUCGGUUGUAAGUA
Molecule: ribosomal RNA, 426 nt
Filed under: Acidithiobacillus ferrivorans
Lineage: Bacteria; Pseudomonadati; Pseudomonadota; Acidithiobacillia; Acidithiobacillales; Acidithiobacillaceae
Description: bacterial SSU rRNA
Rfam family: Bacterial small subunit ribosomal RNA
Source: RNAcentral